Molecule: long non-coding RNA, 378 nt
Organism: Monodelphis domestica (gray short-tailed opossum)
Lineage: Eukaryota; Metazoa; Chordata; Mammalia; Didelphimorphia; Didelphidae
Source: RefSeq, a predicted model, not a curated record
GAGCUUUUAGAAAGGGAUGUGGUGGUCACUAAGGGUCAAGAUGUCUUCAAUAGCAGGCUUUAUCCUCCAGAAGUACAAGAUGACACAUUUCAUCAAGAUGGGUCUAGCUGCUUUGGUGCUCGCUGCCCUGGGGGUUCUGUUGGCAGAGGACUGGAACAACAGAGAUCAAGCCCAGAAAGAAGCUCUCAAAGAAAAUCCAGCUGAUGCUGAAAAGAAACUAUAAUGUAGCCAGGAGCCCUGGAAAGUCCCACAACAAUGCAGGCAGGGACAGGGCCCUUGUCUAAGCCCUGCCUGGUUCCCUACCAGCCUUUUGGGGCCCUCCCUCUGUAACACUCUGUAACUCCUCCCUGGGUGAACCAUAAACCUUGUUCAACUGCA